UGAAUGAGCUGACUCCUUAAGGUGAGUUGGAGUCAUUGAGUCAAUUCCUAUAAAUUUGCAGAGUUACCCACCCUUAAUACAAUAAGAUUGCUUGAU
Molecule: long non-coding RNA, 96 nt
Organism: Rhagoletis zephyria (snowberry fruit fly)
Lineage: Eukaryota; Metazoa; Arthropoda; Insecta; Diptera; Tephritidae
Source: RefSeq, a predicted model, not a curated record